This 540-nucleotide ribosomal RNA is filed under the name Gibberula oryza. RNAcentral describes it as "partial 12S ribosomal RNA". Lineage: Eukaryota; Metazoa; Mollusca; Gastropoda; Neogastropoda; Cystiscidae. The record is from RNAcentral.
AAGACUAAGAGACUAAAUCAUUUUUUUUGGCUAUAGGAAGAUAAUUAGUAUUUAUAAGCAUUUUAAUUAUAUAUACAAAGGUGAAAUUUGAAUUUAUAACAAUAAUUUGUUAAAUGUUUAUAUAUUGAGUCUUCGACAUCCUAGAGGGAAACUGGGAUUAGAUACCCCAUUAUUCUUGGACAUAAAUUAAUUAUUUGCCAGGGGACUACGAGUAAUAAAAGCCUCAAAACCCAAAGAACUUGGCGGUGCCUUAGACCACUUAGGGGAACUUGUCUCAUAAUCGAUAGUCCACGUUGAAAUAUUACCUUUACUUGUAAUCAGUUUGUAUACCGUCGUCGAAAGGUAACAUAAAAAGGACUAAGAGUUAGCUAUAUAAUUUUAAGUUAUAACGUCAGAUCAAGGUGCAACCAAUGUAAAGGAGAGGAUGAGUUACAAUUAUAUUAAUUUAUAGACGGAAAGUUACUGGCAUCAGUUAUUUAAAGUAGGACUUAAAAGUAAAAUAAUUUAUAUAAAUUAUUUGAAUUGAGCUCUGAGGCGUGC